CUUCCGUAGGGUGGAACUGCGGAAGGAUCAUUACGAAAUUCGGCGCGCUUCGGCGCUGCCUUAUUCACCCACCCUUUGUCUACGUGUACCUCUAUAGCUUCCUCGGCGGGCUCGCCCGCCGCCAGGAACCCACGAAACCCCUUGCAUUAUACACGAAAACUUCUGAUAACAAACCUAAAUUAUUACAACUUUCAACAAUGGAUCUCUUGGUUCUGGCAUCGAUGAAGAACGCAGCGAAAUGCGAUAAGUAGUGUGAAUUGCAGAAUUCAGUGAAUCAUCGAAUCUUUGAACGCACAUUGCGGCCAUAGGUAUUCCUUUGGCCAUGCCUGUUCGAGCGUCAUUUACACCCUCAAGCCUAGCUUGGUGUUGGGCGUCUGUCCCGCCGUUUUCGCGCGCGGACUCGCCUCAAAGUCAUUGGCGGCGGUCGUGCCGGCUCCUCGCGCAGCACAUUUGCGCUUCUCGGAGGCCCGGCGGAUCCGCGCUCCAGCAAAGACCUUUCAUGACUGACCUCGGAUCAGGUAGGGAWCCC
This 529-nucleotide ribosomal RNA is filed under the name fungal endophyte sp. ECD-2008. RNAcentral's name for it is "eukaryotic LSU rRNA". The stretch from base 187 to 340 matches the Rfam family "5.8S ribosomal RNA". Lineage: Eukaryota; Fungi. The record is from RNAcentral.